UUAUGGACUAGAUAAAUUUAUGUAC
RNAcentral lists this non-coding RNA (25 nucleotides) under Cricetulus griseus (Chinese hamster). Lineage: Eukaryota; Metazoa; Chordata; Mammalia; Rodentia; Cricetidae. The record is from RNAcentral.